UGGACACAAACACAAAGAGAUCCGGCACUAU
This 31-nucleotide non-coding RNA is filed under the name Rattus norvegicus (Norway rat). The record is from RNAcentral. Lineage: Eukaryota; Metazoa; Chordata; Mammalia; Rodentia; Muridae.